This 120-nucleotide ribosomal RNA is filed under the name Helianthus annuus (common sunflower). The record is from RNAcentral. Lineage: Eukaryota; Viridiplantae; Streptophyta; Magnoliopsida; Asterales; Asteraceae.
GGUUGCGAUCAUACCAGCACUAAUGCAUCGGAUCCCAUCAGAACUCCGCAGUUAAGCGUGCUUGGGCGAGAGUAGUACUAGGAUGGGUGACCCCCCUGGGAAGUCCUCGUGUUGCAACCC